UGAAUGCCUCCCUUUGCCAGUGCAAAGGC
This 29-nucleotide small RNA is filed under the name Bombyx mori (domestic silkworm). RNAcentral describes it as "ovarian small RNA-31170". The record is from RNAcentral. Lineage: Eukaryota; Metazoa; Arthropoda; Insecta; Lepidoptera; Bombycidae.